UACGUAGGGGGCAAGCGUUGUCCGGAUUCAUUGGGCGUAAAGAGCGUGUAGGCGGCCAGGUAGGUCGGUUGUGAAAACUGGAGGCUCAACCUUCAGAGGUCGACCGAAACCAUCUGGCUAGAGGUCCGGAGAGGAGAGUGGAAUUCCUGGUGUAGCGGUGAAAUGCGCAGAUAUCAGGAAGAACACCCGUGGCGAAGGCGGCUCUCUGGGACGGUACUGACGCUGAGACGCGAAAGCGUGGGGAGCGAACAGG
RNAcentral lists this ribosomal RNA (253 nucleotides) under uncultured bacterium. Its description in RNAcentral is "partial 16S ribosomal RNA". It matches the Rfam family "Bacterial small subunit ribosomal RNA", at positions 524 to 776 of the family's 1533-position model. The record is from RNAcentral.